GAUCAUGCUGUGGCAGCCUCACU
RNAcentral lists this microRNA (23 nucleotides) under Zea mays. Its description in RNAcentral is "zma-miR167c-3p". Its record names the gene zma-miR167c-3p. The record is from miRBase by way of RNAcentral. Lineage: Eukaryota; Viridiplantae; Streptophyta; Magnoliopsida; Poales; Poaceae.